AAUCUGUGUUGAGGGCAUCUCUGCAAAAGAUCCUUGAAGCGCUCCCACAUCUCAAACAAUGUUUCCAAUUCCAUCUGCAUAAAUGACGAUAUCUCAUUUCAAAGCUU
Molecule: small nucleolar RNA, 107 nt
Organism: Dioscorea cayenensis subsp. rotundata (Guinea yam)
Lineage: Eukaryota; Viridiplantae; Streptophyta; Magnoliopsida; Dioscoreales; Dioscoreaceae
Source: RefSeq, a predicted model, not a curated record